This 764-nucleotide long non-coding RNA is filed under the name Mus spicilegus (steppe mouse). Its description in RNAcentral is "lncRNA (ENSMSIG00000023791.1)". Lineage: Eukaryota; Metazoa; Chordata; Mammalia; Rodentia; Muridae. The record is from RNAcentral.
GGCGCUCUGGGGGCGUGCCGGCUGCGCAGGGACACGCGCUCUGGGCCGCAGCAACUGGCUCCAAGUUCCCUCCCUCGCUCUCCUGCGGAGCCUGCCUGAGCCCGCCCCUUCGGUGCGGAGGAGCAAACGCGGCCCCGGUCAGCUCAGCCCUCCGUUGCCGCCCGAUCCGGGCCGGUUCGGCUAACCCGGUCCAUUCCGAGCCGGCGGCGAGGACCCGGCGGCCACUUCAUCCCGGCCUGCAGUGCAUCGCGGGGCCCAAGCUCCUCCUCGCGGUCUCCGGAGCCUGGUGCCUGGCCUGGCCGCCUUGCAGGGGCCGGAGUGCGGCCAAGACACCUCCUGCUGCAGAGAGUGCUUUAAGUAAGGAAGGUUUUCCUUGGCUUCUGUCUGCAUUCCAUAAAAUACUCAUUGCCUUUUAGGUGGACACUCUUAACGGUGAUUCACUCCAUGUGAAAGUGACACAUGUGCGCAUGUUCUCUAAAGGACCUUGGCGAAGGACAGAGCAGUAGAACCCAGAAGGCUCUGAGCUCCAUCCUGCUUUUUUCCUCCUGCCUGCAUUGGACUGGAUUUCAUCUUUAAUAAUGGCUCCAUUUGUUGCUUUGGCCCAGUUUGCUCACAUAACUGUUUGCUUUGAAGUUUGAAAACACGUAUUUUCUUUGAACCUCAAGUUAAAAAAAAAAAAAAAUGAGGGCAUCCAGGUGACCUGUUAGGCAAAAACUGCAGGCAGUCCAGUUUCACAGAACUACUACAAAUAGUUCUAAUUCUAC